RNAcentral lists this ribosomal RNA (465 nucleotides) under uncultured bacterium. RNAcentral's name for it is "partial 16S ribosomal RNA". It matches the Rfam family "Bacterial small subunit ribosomal RNA", at positions 28 to 507 of the family's 1533-position model. The record is from RNAcentral.
GACGAACGCUGGCGGCGUGCUUAACACAUGCAAGUCGAACGCUGAACCCGCUUCGGUGGGGGAUGAGUGGCGAACGGGUGAGUAACACGUGGGCAACCUGCCCCCGGCUCUGGGAUAACUCCAAGAAAUUGGGGCUAAUACCGGAUGUGACCGCUGGCCGCAUGGUCUGGUGGUGGAAAGGGUUUCCGGCUGGGGAUGGGCCCGCGGCCUAUCAGCUUGUUGGUGGGGUAGUGGCCUACCAAGGCGACGACGGGUAGCCGGCCUGAGAGGGUGACCGGCCACACUGGGGCUGAGACACGGCCCAGACUCCUACGGGAGGCAGCAGUGGGGAAUAUUGCGCAAUGGGCGGAAGCCUGACGCAGCGACGCCGCGUGGGGGAUGACGGCCUUCGGGUUGUAAACCUCUUUCAGCAGGGACGAAGCGCAAGUGACGGUACCUGCAGAAGAAGCACCGGCCAACUACGUG